Molecule: transfer RNA, 73 nt
Filed under: Anaerolinea sp.
Lineage: Bacteria; Bacillati; Chloroflexota; Anaerolineae; Anaerolineales; Anaerolineaceae
Also listed under: 1 other name
Description: tRNA-Ala
Rfam family: tRNA
About the family: Transfer RNA (tRNA) molecules are approximately 80 nucleotides in length. Their secondary structure includes four short double-helical elements and three loops (D, anti-codon, and T loops).
Source: RNAcentral
GGGCCUGUAGCUCAGCUGGGAGAGCGCCACAAUGGCAUUGUGGAGGCCAAGGGUUCGAGCCCCUUCAGGUCCA